GAUGAAGAACGUAGCGAAAUGCGAUAAGUAAUGUGAAUUGCAGAAUUCAGUGAAUCAUCGAAUCUUUGAACGCACAUUGCGCCCGCCAGUAUUCUGGCGGGCAUGCCUGUUCGAGCGUCAUUUCAACCCUCAGGCCCCCAGUGCCUGGCGUUGGGGAUCGGCACACGACCCGGGCCUCUCUCCGGAGGGGACCCGCGGCGCCCGCCGGCCCCGAAAUCUAGUGGCGGUCUCGCUGUAGUCCUCCUCUGCGUAGUAGCAUACACCUCGCAGCUGGAACUUGGCGGUGGCCACGCCGUUAAACACCCCACUUCUGAAAGUUGACCUCGGAUCAGGUAGGAAUACCCGCUGAACUUAAGCAUAUCAAUAAGCGGAGGA
This 375-nucleotide unclassified non-coding RNA is filed under the name soil metagenome. Its description in RNAcentral is "partial contains 5.8S ribosomal RNA, internal transcribed spacer 2, and large subunit ribosomal RNA". The stretch from base 1 to 120 matches the Rfam family "5.8S ribosomal RNA", at positions 35 to 154 of the family's 154-position model. The record is from RNAcentral.